This 465-nucleotide ribosomal RNA is filed under the name Vreelandella stevensii. RNAcentral's name for it is "partial 16S ribosomal RNA". It matches the Rfam family "Bacterial small subunit ribosomal RNA", at positions 338 to 795 of the family's 1533-position model. Lineage: Bacteria; Pseudomonadati; Pseudomonadota; Gammaproteobacteria; Oceanospirillales; Halomonadaceae. The record is from RNAcentral.
CCUACGGGUGGCUGCAGUGGGGAAUAUUGGACAAUGGGGGGAACCCUGAUCCAGCCAUGCCGCGUGUGUGAAGAAGGCCCUCGGGUUGUAAAGCACUUUCAGUGAGGAAGAACGCCUGGUGGUUAAUACCCAUCAGGAAAGACAUCACUCACAGAAGAAGCACCGGCUAACUCCGUGCCAGCAGCCGCGGUAAUACGGAGGGUGCAAGCGUUAAUCGGAAUUACUGGGCGUAAAGCGCGCGUAGGUGGCUUGAUAAGCCGGUUGUGAAAGCCCCGGGCUCAACCUGGGAACGGCAUCCGGAACUGUCAAGCUAGAGUGCAGGAGAGGAAGGUAGAAUUCCCGGUGUAGCGGUGAAAUGCGUAGAGAUCGGGAGGAAUACCAGUGGCGAAGGCGGCCUUCUGGACUGACACUGACACUGAGGUGCGAAAGCGUGGGUAGCAAACAGGAUUAGAUACCCGAGUAGUC